UAGGGAAUAUUGGGCAAUGGGCGAAAGCCUGACCCAGCAAUGCCGCGUGUGUGAUGAAGGCCUUCGGGUUGUAAAGCACUGUCGGGAGGGAAGAAAAAGAGUGGGUAACGCCACGACUUGACGGUACCUCCAAAGGAAGCACCGGCUAACUCCGUGCCAGCAGCCGCGGUAAUACGGAGGGUGCGAGCGUUGUUCGGAAUUACUGGGCGUAAAGCGCGUGUAGGCGGCGACGUAAGUCGGAUGUGAAAGCCCUCGGCUCAACCGAGGAAGUGCAUCCGAUACUGCGUUGCUUGAGUUUCGGAGGGGGUGGCGGAAUUCCUGGUGUAGAGGUGAAAUUCGUAGAUAUCAGGAGGAACACCCGUGGCGAAGGCGGCCACCUGGACGAACACUGACGCUGAGACGCGAAAGCGUGGGUAGCAAACAGGAUUAGAUACCCCCGUAGUCC
Molecule: ribosomal RNA, 445 nt
Filed under: uncultured prokaryote
Description: bacterial SSU rRNA
Rfam family: Bacterial small subunit ribosomal RNA
Source: RNAcentral